This 365-nucleotide unclassified non-coding RNA is filed under the name soil metagenome. RNAcentral describes it as "partial contains small subunit ribosomal RNA, internal transcribed spacer 1, and 5.8S ribosomal RNA". The record is from RNAcentral.
UUUCCGUAGGUGAACCUGCGGAAGGAUCAUCACUGGUCAUUAUAGUAUAAUUUUUGUGAACAGUAUGAGGGGAGCAUAGUUGGCGAGGGCAGCCGCGGUAGCGGGUGCAUGGCCGCGAUAGCGGCUGCGUGACCGCGAUAGCGGCUGCGUGACCGCGAUAGCGGCUGCGUGCGUGGGUGUGUCACGAGGCGUGAAUGUGUCGCGAGGCGUGCCUCGUGAGACAGCGCCCCGUGAGAGCGCCCCGUGAGACAGAGUGCCCCCGCGCUCGCCAACGGCUCCGCAUUUCAUAAAAUCCUUGGCUUACACAACACACACUAAACAAACACAAAAAAUCACAACUUUCAACAAUGGAUCUCUUGGCUCUC